RNAcentral lists this unclassified non-coding RNA (421 nucleotides) under Hevea brasiliensis (rubber tree). The record is from RNAcentral. Lineage: Eukaryota; Viridiplantae; Streptophyta; Magnoliopsida; Malpighiales; Euphorbiaceae.
CUGUGCUAGAAUUAUUCUUCCAGAAUUACUCCUUUUAACUAUUUUCUUUAUGUUGUAUUUGAGGUAGCUGAAAAUUUGUAAAGUGACGGGGCAGUUGGAAAGCAGAGGAAAGUGAAUUAUUUGAGCGAGUUAUGCACGAAAUUUGAAGUGACUUCCCAUCCUAUCCCCUUUUUAGGUUUUAUUAAGGAUAUAAAAUAAAACAAAAUAAUUUAUUCAAUCAAUUAGAUAGAGCUUUCAAUGAGAAGGACAAGAUAAUUUUGAAAUCUAUAAUAUUUCAGCAAUUCAUUUACACCGUUACUAUUACUAGUGAUUAAAUUUCAUAUAUGAACAAUCCACACUUCUCCCCAAGCCCUUUCAUUUGAGCCCAACGUUCUGCCAGUAAAGCUGCCAAAGCUUUCGUCAAAUGGAUUUCAGUCAAGAG